This 338-nucleotide long non-coding RNA is filed under the name Phaseolus vulgaris (common bean). RNAcentral describes it as "long non-coding RNA (PVUL_LNC004721)". Lineage: Eukaryota; Viridiplantae; Streptophyta; Magnoliopsida; Fabales; Fabaceae. The record is from RNAcentral.
GCCUCGAUAUAUAAACAAUAUACCUUAGUAAUCAAAUACGCAUGAUUUUUAGCCUUACUUUACGUAACAUUGAUUGCCUUUUUCGAAGAAAAUUAUAUGCACAGAAAUCAUUUGAUGCUUCGAAGAUGUGGCAUAAUGCAUAUAUUCCACUGUUCACUUCAUGGAGACGCGAACGAAGGUUAACAAUAGAACCUUCGAAAAAGCAACUGUUUAUAACCGCCCAGGUAUUUUUACGGCUCCAAAUUCUGGAGAGGCCAAUCACUUUUCUUCUUUAUUGGUAAUAGGCGUGUAAGGUUUUGGUCUGGUCAUUCCAGUUGUAUAGAACUUGAGGCCUAUUU